GACGAACGCUGGCGGCGUGCUUAACACAUGCAAGUCGAACGGAAAGGCCCUGCUUUUGUGGGGUGCUCGUGUGGCGAACGGGUGAGUGACACGUGAGUAACCUGCCCCUGACUUUGGGAUAACUUCAGGAAACUGGGGCUCAUACCGGAUAGGAGCUCCUGCUGCACGGUGGGGGUUGGAAAGUUUCGGCGGUUGGGGAUGGACUCGCGGCUUAUCCGCUUGUUGGUGGGGUAGUGGCUUACCAAGGUUUUGACGGGUAGCCGGCCUGAGAGGGUGACCGGCCACAUUGGGACUGAGGUACGGCGCAGUCGGCUACGGGAGGCAACAGUGGGGAGUAUUGCACAAUGGGCGGAAGCCAGAUGCAGCAGCGCCGCGUGCGGGAUGACGGCCUUCGGGUUGUAAACCGCUUUCGCCUGUGACGAAGCGUGAGUGACGGUAAUGGGUAAAGAAGCACCGGCUAACUACGUG
This 468-nucleotide ribosomal RNA is filed under the name uncultured bacterium. RNAcentral describes it as "partial 16S ribosomal RNA". It matches the Rfam family "Bacterial small subunit ribosomal RNA", at positions 28 to 507 of the family's 1533-position model. The record is from RNAcentral.